RNAcentral lists this ribosomal RNA (274 nucleotides) under uncultured bacterium. Its description in RNAcentral is "partial 16S ribosomal RNA". It matches the Rfam family "Bacterial small subunit ribosomal RNA", at positions 523 to 796 of the family's 1533-position model. The record is from RNAcentral.
AUACGGAAGGUGCAAGCGUUACUCGGAAUCACUGGGCGUAAAGCGCGCGCAGGCGGCUUGAUAAGUUGGAUGUGAAAGCCUACGGCUCAACCGUAGAACUGCAUCCAAAACUGUCAAGCUAGAGUCUGGGAGGGGAAGAUGGAAUUAGUUGUGUAGGGGUAAAAUCCGUAGAGAUAACUAGGAAUACCAAAAGCGAAGGCGAUCUUCUGGAACAGUACUGACGCUGAGGCGCGAAAGCGUGGGGAGCAAACAGGAUUAGAAACCCGGGUAGUCC